RNAcentral lists this ribosomal RNA (292 nucleotides) under uncultured bacterium. RNAcentral's name for it is "partial 16S ribosomal RNA". It matches the Rfam family "Bacterial small subunit ribosomal RNA", at positions 505 to 796 of the family's 1533-position model. The record is from RNAcentral.
GUGUCAGCAGCCGCGGUAAUACGGGGGGGGCGAGCGUUGUUCGGAAUUACUGGGCGUAAAGGGUUCGUAGGUGGCCUUCUCAGUCAGAUGUGAAAUCCCUCGGCUCAACUGAGGAACUGCAUCUGAUACUGGAAGGCUCGAGUGCAGGAGAGGAACGCGGAAUUCCAGGUGUAGCGGUGAAAUGCGUAGAUAUCUGGAGGAACACCGGUGGCGAAGGCGGCGUUCUGGACUGCAACUGACACUGAGGAACGAAAGCCAGGGGAGCAAACGGGAUUAGAUACCCUCGUAGUCC